Molecule: ribosomal RNA, 429 nt
Filed under: Gemmatimonadota bacterium
Lineage: Bacteria; Pseudomonadati; Gemmatimonadota
Description: Gemmatimonadetes bacterium partial 16S ribosomal RNA
Rfam family: Bacterial small subunit ribosomal RNA
Source: RNAcentral
UAGGGAAUCUUCGGCAAUGGACGAAAGUCUGACCGAGCAACGCCGCGUGAGUGAAGAAGGUUUUCGGAUCGUAAAACUCUGUUGUUAGAGAAGAACAAGGACGUUAGUAACUGAACGUCCCCUGACGGUAUCUAACCAGAAAGCCACGGCUAACUACGUGCCAGCAGCCGCGGUAAUACGUAGGUGGCAAGCGGUGUCCGGAUUUAUUGGGCGUAAAGCGAGCGCAGGCGGUUUCUUAAGUCUGAUGUGAAAGCCCCCGGCUCAACCGGGGAGGGUCAUUGGAAACUGGGAGACUUGAGUGCAGAAGAGGAGAGUGGAAUUCCAUGUGUAGCGGUGAAAUGCGUAGAUAUAUGGAGGAACACCAGUGGCGAAGGCGGCUCUCUGGUCUGUAACUGACGCUGAGGCUCGAAAGCGUGGGGAGCAAACAGG